GGAGAGCUGUCUGAGCGGCUGAAGGAGCUCGCCUGGAAAGCGGGUAUAGGUUAAUACCUAUCGGGGGUUCGAAUCCCCCGCUCUCCGCCA
This 90-nucleotide transfer RNA is filed under the name Thiomicrorhabdus immobilis. Its description in RNAcentral is "tRNA-Ser". It matches the Rfam family "tRNA". Rfam says of the family: Transfer RNA (tRNA) molecules are approximately 80 nucleotides in length. Their secondary structure includes four short double-helical elements and three loops (D, anti-codon, and T loops). Further hydrogen bonds mediate the characteristic L-shaped molecular structure. tRNAs have two regions of fundamental functional importance: the anti-codon, which is responsible for specific mRNA codon recognition, and the 3' end, to which the tRNAs corresponding amino acid is attached (by aminoacyl-tRNA synthetases). tRNAs cope with the degeneracy of the genetic code in two manners: having more than one tRNA (with a specific anti-codon) for a particular amino acid; and 'wobble' base-pairing, i.e. permitting non-standard base-pairing at the 3rd anti-codon position. Lineage: Bacteria; Pseudomonadati; Pseudomonadota; Gammaproteobacteria; Thiotrichales; Piscirickettsiaceae. The record is from RNAcentral.